UUGUUCUCCAUUGUUCUUCGAUUGUUCCUGUUCUUCAUGCACUUGCAGGUGGGUUUUCUCGAUCCAUUGCCAUUCUUCUUUUUGAUCUAUUUUUUAUCUUUUUAUCUUCGUGGUCUGUCUUCUGACCUCAUUUUCUCUCUUUUUUCAAUCUCCUUAGUGUUAUACAUAUUUUUUUUUGUAUCCUUCAAUGGCCGACUCAGGGAGUUCCUUAAGAGGCUAGUCCUCUGAAUCUUCCGCUUCUUUGGGAGGAGGUUCUGCAAGGCAGGGUGUCGGGCAUGAGGUCGGAUCGUCCUUCAUGCCCGGCACCAUUGAGUCCAUGCUGGACUUAGAUGACUUGAGUCUAAUCUGAGCUCAAUAUGGAAUUUCUUCUAUAUUUGAGUUGGAACUUCAGGGGGCCAA
This 399-nucleotide long non-coding RNA is filed under the name Elaeis guineensis (African oil palm). Its description in RNAcentral is "long non-coding RNA (EGUI_LNC055239)". Lineage: Eukaryota; Viridiplantae; Streptophyta; Magnoliopsida; Arecales; Arecaceae. The record is from RNAcentral.